This is a small nuclear RNA of Prolemur simus (greater bamboo lemur), 102 nucleotides long. Lineage: Eukaryota; Metazoa; Chordata; Mammalia; Primates; Lemuridae. The record is from Ensembl.
GUUUGCUUUGGCAAGACAUAUACUAAAAUUGGAAUGAUACAGAGAUUACUAUGGCCCUUGUGAAAAGAUGACAUGCAAAUUUAUGAAACCAUCCAUAUUCAU